Non-coding RNA from Geobacillus thermodenitrificans NG80-2, 30 nucleotides. NCBI's taxonomy places the organism in Bacteria, Bacillati, Bacillota, Bacilli, Caryophanales, Anoxybacillaceae. The record is from Rfam.
GUUUCAAUCCCUCAUAGGUACGAUACAAAC